UAACAAGUGAUUUGGCCAAUGUUUAUAGGAGAGAUGUUUUGAAAAAGAUGAAGAGAUUAAGAUAUUUUAUUUACUUGACAAAACAGAACAUAGGUGUUGACACAGUUUGAGUUAUCUGUCUGUCCAUCUGUCCUUGAUCAGGUUACCUCUUUAUGUAUUCAAUGGUAAAUAACCUUGUGUUGAAUAAUCCUUCAACAAUGAACAAAACCAAUAUUAAAAGGACUGGGAAUAACAUAAUGUAAGACAUUCAUAAGAUAAUAUCAAUGUCCUUGUUUAGACAAAUACAAUAAUGAAACAUUUUUACCAACCACAACCACUGGAUAGUAAGAUUCCUAGCAUUGCAUGGAAACAUGUUUGUCAGCAAUCAACCAUAUCUCCAUCUGGGGACAGUGGUGUAACUUUAUAAAAUUCAGG
This 414-nucleotide long non-coding RNA is filed under the name Mytilus galloprovincialis (Mediterranean mussel). Lineage: Eukaryota; Metazoa; Mollusca; Bivalvia; Mytilida; Mytilidae. The record is from RNAcentral.